This 468-nucleotide ribosomal RNA is filed under the name uncultured bacterium. RNAcentral's name for it is "partial 16S ribosomal RNA". It matches the Rfam family "Bacterial small subunit ribosomal RNA", at positions 28 to 507 of the family's 1533-position model. The record is from RNAcentral.
GACGAACGCUGGCGGCGUGCUUAACACAUGCAAGUCGAACGGAAAGGCCCUGCUUUUGUGGGGUGCUCGAGUGGCGAACGGGUGGGUAACACGUGAGUAACCUGCCCUUGACUUUGGGAUAACUUCAGGAAACUGGGGCUAAUACCGGAUAGGAGCUCCUGCUGCAUGGUGGGGGUUGGAAAGUUUCGGCGGUUGGGGAUGGACUCGCGGCUUAUCAGCUUGUUGGUGGGGUAGUGGCUUACCAAGGCUUUGACGGGUAGCCGGCCUGAGAGGGUGACCGGCCACAUUGGGACUGAGAUGCGGCCCAGACUCCUACGGGAGGCAGCAGUGGGGAAUAUUGCACAAUGGGCUGAAGCCUGAUGCAGCAACGCCGCGUGCGGGAUGACGGCCUUCGGGUUGUAUACCGCUUUCGCCUGUGACGAAGCGUGAGUGACGGUAAUGGGUAAAGAAGCACCGGCUAACUACGUG